AGGAAGAAGAUUGCAGAGGGUCUAGUGGUUUGAGGAGAGAAGCCAAAGAGAAGAAGUACAGAGCACUAAGGGAUUUGGAUAAAUACAGACAACUGCCACGUCUUCUUGGUAGCACUGGUGCAAUCUUGCUUGAGAAAUGUGAAGGCAAGUAAGGGAACUUUUAGGUUUCCUUUGCUCUGCAAAGGGACAAAAGGUUCAUACUUUCCUGAAUCUGGUCAUUGUUGGACAAGGACUGGUGCCAUGGAAGCUCUCUUGAGAUCAUGAGAAAAUGAAUAUGAGGACAAAACUGACAUGCUAAGAAUGGCAGAGGAAAAUAUGGCAAGAACCUCGAUCCUUGAUGUCACUGAGUCACUGACUGAAUCUAUGCUGGAACCAUUAGGAAUCAGUCCUUAUGGUUGAAGAUACUUUUAGUCAUGUUU
Long non-coding RNA from Mesoplodon densirostris (Blainville's beaked whale), 419 nucleotides. RefSeq lists it as uncharacterized. Lineage: Eukaryota; Metazoa; Chordata; Mammalia; Artiodactyla; Ziphiidae. The record is from RefSeq and is a predicted model, not a curated record. The transcript is spliced from 3 exons.